CACCGUGCUCAGUCGGUUUCAGUCGUCUUCUAUGGGAGGAUGUUGGCCGGUGGUUUACCCGUGACAAAACGUCAAGCGGGAUUUUCUUAACUUUUCCCAUCGACUCCUCGUGUCAGAAAUAUUAAUUGUUAUGAGACGAUAAGAGAUCAGUCUUAUCUAUCGUGUUCAAAAGUUCGACGUUGCGUAUAAACGUGAUAGUCCUUUGUUGAUUGCGAUUGUUUACGUGGUAAGAGUCAGUGUACGGACUGAAAAACAUAGAGGGCCCCUUUGGAGAACCACGAUUGUGCAACGUUCACACGUGCUUUCUCACGUACGAUCGUCAAUCGAUUUAAUCAUUCGUUUGUGAGCAAGACUAAGGAACGAAGCUAGUGAAAAAUGAAAACCGUAUCGUUACUCGCUCUUGUUGUCUGUCUGCAAUAUCACGUUACUGGUUCCUUGGCUGUUCCAGCAAGAACGACCGGGCAGGUUCUCCUUGGACAAGUAGACAUUGACGUCCAAGAGGACGCCGAAAAUGAAUUAACGACGGAAGAAUCGUUGCCGAAAAAAUGCAUCGUCGAUGACAAUGCAUAUUCUCAUGGUCAGACGAUACCAUCGUACGACCCGAACUCUCAUUGUCUGUGCGUCGCCGGUGAAGUAUAUUGUUGGUGGCAGAAUUACAAUCCGAACACCGAUCCUUCCGCCGGCCCCUCGUUCCUCCCAUCGACGACGAUAGAAAGUAAUUACACGCCGUCGCUGGAGGGAAGCACGGAUGCCGUCGACAGUUUGGAAGCUUCCGGUGAUCCGGCGGAGGAACCUUCUGUCGAGCAACAGGGAUACGCGGAGAUUAACGCGACCUACUCGACUACCUUGCAGCCAGUACCAACUACGUGUCUCGUGAUGGGAAGGGAAUACCGUGAGGGCGAGGUACUUCCGCAUUCGACCGGAAACUGCAUUGAAUGCAGCUGCGGAUCCGAGGGCCGUGUCGAGUGUUCGCCACGGGACUGCGUGGCCCUUCGACCCGAGAUACCAGUUGCACCAGAUAUACCGGACGCACCAGAUGGCGAUUUCGAAGUUUUCAAUCUUGCCAGGGAUCGGGGAAUCGACGAGAGCUUCUAAAAAAUCCGAUAAUAACGAUUGUCGCCUGCUCCAUGAAAUCCUCGAACGCGUGGCUCGUAAGAGACUCGACUUUCGUGUAAUCGCGGUCUUCGACGAGUUUCGCCUUUACUUAUUAAGCUUUCCUUUUUUAUUCGGAAUUUGUUGAUCGAUAUGAAUUAUACGUGAAAAUCAAACGACGUUAAUUAUUACGUUAACGUUAAAAUGAAUUAUUUAAAUUUGUGUGGUUUUUCUGACUUUGAAAAUGGUGAAUGAAGAGUUAGUAUUGUAUCCAUACGUGAAUCAUAGUUUAAUUUUCAUGAAAGUGGGUCAGGAUUCUAAGAGAAAUAAUGAAUUCCUUAAAUAAAUAAUUAUUUUAUCUGUAAUAUUAUCUGUUUAUAGUAUCGAAACUAUAAUGGAUUAAUCACGCUUAAAAAGUAAAAUUAUAAUUGUCGUAUUCUUAUUUCUCGCAAAGGUGUACGAAAAAGCUUGUUUCAUCCAAAUGGCAAAGCAUGUUCUAAACUUUCGAGCAGGAGUAUACGAAUGUGUUUUGUAGCAUAUAAAAUUUAUUGAUGAUUUAUGAAUAAUUUGUAACAAUAUGAUUACAACAAUUGGGAACAUAGUGAAAAAUAAGAUUGGUUAUUUUGUACUACGAUUCAUACUAAUUCUAUUUGAGAAUUACUUUAAAAUAGAUGAAACCUUAAAUAUUAAAUUUUAUUAAAAAUUUAUUCUAUUAGAAAUAUAACGAUACAUUAAUAAUAGGAAGUAUUAAAAGUGAUACUAGUAGUUAUAUGGUUUAUUUAUGUUAUUUAUAAUAUAAUUUAGUAGUGAUAAUUGUAGAAAUAAUUUUUUUAUAAACUUUGAGGAACAUAUUGGUAUACAUAUUAACCGUAAAUAAUUAAUGUAUCGUAGAAUGAAAAUUAAAUACAAUUUCUCCCACGAUUAUUUUCGUAUCGAUCAAUAAUAUGUUGAUACAUAUCUGUACGAUCAUUGCGUUUUAAAUACCAGUUUACGCAAGUAAUCGAACGUUUAACGAUCCUCCAACCGUAUGGAAUGAUUUUCUUAUUAAAAAUAUUUAUCUAUGGAUCGAGAUUCACGUUCUUAACAAACGGAAAGGAUUAUCAAAGUAUUUUUUUCGCAUCUCACAACAUAUUAAAAGUCACACGAUUUCAACGAGAAAAAUAUUCUCGACCGGGAAGUGAUUACACGGUUGAAGGAUCUGUAAGUACUAAUUAGUUUAAUUUAUAUACCUUCUUAUCUGUGUUCUCUCAAGCUUUAAGCUUUUCUCCUUUUGUUUGAAACGCGAUUCCGGUUGAAAGAGUUCUACGGAAGAGAAAAAGAAAACUCUGAAAAAUCGAUUACCGAUAAUGAAACAAAAGGAACCUUAACUACUUUCUUUUCACAUACCUGAAUAAUUAAACGAGACAGGAAUUAGAUAUAUAUAUAUAUAUAUAUAUAUAUAUAUAUAUAUAUAUAUAUAUAAUUAUGUAUGAGAAAAGUAAAGAAUACUCAACUUCAAAGAAAAAUAUAUUAUUGCAAAUUACAACGAUGAUUAAAGAGAGAGCAGGGUUCAAUUUCAACAUCGUCGAGUUAUCGUCGUAAUGAUCAGUCGCUUGAAUCGACCCAGGCCAGGCCAAAUAAUAUAUUUAUGUUCAAUUUAGUGAUUUAAUGAGAUCGAUAGACAGCUUUUAGCCAGGAUGUUAUUCCAACAUUUAUUAGCCAACUGCAAUUUAUUACCCCCAGGACUUCUAAACGUUUCACUAGCGUGGGCCUAAUUUAUCAAACGAUGGAUCUUAGAAAUAAUCCAUCUAAAUACCAAUUAAUUACGAACAAAUUCUAUCUAGUCGUACUGCGUUUACAAAUUGCAUUUCUUUAUCAGGAUUAAUAUCGUUACCAUUUUUACCAUCCAUUACAACUUACUAUUACCUAAGAAACGUUAACGAAUCUUGAGAAAAUGUUCCUCAUGCAAGAACCUCCAGCGCCACAAAAGUACCAAACGAUAGAUUAAUAGCGAUUAAGUACUCGUUCCUUAAGAGAACUCACAUUCCAAAUACUUCCUUUUUAUUUCUAACAUUUUAAUUCUUCGAAUAACUUAAACUAGUCCCAGAAAGAAAACUUCGUUUUGAAAGAAAUGCUCCGUUUAUUCAUCUUGCGUUUCAUAAUCCUCUUUCAUCGAUGGAAAAAGUCGAGAUUUGCGCACCAGGAUAGAUCCUCGAGCGGUGCAAUUUUUCUAUAAGACGACCUACCGACGAUCUAUCCUCAUACUGACGAAUCGUCGCCACGAUCGUCACUAGGUAUCGUGAUUAAGUGAGAACUCUCGGCCAAUUUGGCCACACAUUUUCUAUGUAGACACCCGUAGAUGUUAGAACGCAAGUUUGAACGAUAGGUCCCGCGCGCUUUGAUUCUCUAAAUGAGGGAUCGUUGUAGUUCUCUCGUCUGUUGUACGGUAUUUUGUACGCGUUACGAGAAUGGAAGCGGUUACUUCCCAUCAUGUUAACGAUACACAAACGAUAAACAAAACUAUAUAAUUCUGUAGACGUCGGCCUACAACGUACGAAUUAAUAAGUCGGGUAUGAGGAAACCGGCCUGUUCGGUCUCGGAAUCGAGUACCCGUUUUAAAAGAAGAAGCGUUACAGAGCUUGGAUAGUUCUGGAUCUUCGUCAUAAGAUCAUAGAUGAUACUCGUGUCAUUCAUAUCUUUCGUCAUAUUCUAGUCGAGACGUAGCCAUAUCCUGUUCACGGUCGGUACGUUCGGCCUUGUAGCUUGGAUCGUAGGGACGGCAAUGCCCUGCUACUCGUACGAAGAAAGCACGACCUGUACGAGACGUUCAGAAAGCUUAUUGAACAAGCUCGAUUGGCUUGUGGCUCGCAAGCCGGCAAUCUGGUGAAACGAUCUUUGCACAAGCUGAUCUAUCUAGCCUCCACUGUGUAUAAAAUAUUGUUCCAGUUGUGCUUUUUGCUUCUGUUUCGGUGAUAUUGGAAAUUGGAUAUCGGCGAGAAAUCACGUUCCGUGUUGUUUAACAAGGUGAAAAAUCUCAAAUCACUAAUAAAAAUCUAAUAUCGAAAAACUUAUUAAAGAUCUCAAUAAUACUAGAUUGUAAUAUUUUGUUUUUUGCUUGUUUUAUUGCAGAUCUGAAUUAAUGAAAAAGACAUUCCUUUUAUUGAAUAAAUUUGAAUAAUUUUAGAAAUUUCUUGAAAUUCUAAAUUUAAAUUCAUUACUUAUUUAUGUUUACAACCUAUAAGAAUAUUUAUUCUAUUAAACAAGAGAAUAUUUUUUGUUUGGCUGUGAACAUUACAGUGGGAAAGUACGUAAAUGUUAAUACCGUUGCAAAGGAACAUUAUACAUUUCACGCAAUUCUAUUGCAAAAUGUAUAACGACUUUUAAUUUAAUUAAGAAAUAAUUUUUUAUCAAUUUACUGGCAGAAAUAAUCAUAAAUAUAAAUAAAUAAUCGUAACAGUCGAAACUAAAAUUUAUAGCAAAAUUAUUUUAUUAAUAUUAUUUAAUUUUAUACGUAUUCGAAACAUAUGCUCGAUUAAUAUUAAAUUUUAAUUCACCGGGCAAAAAUGCAAAGUUCGUGUCAAUCAGAUCGAACAUCUCGUACAUUUGCAUCAUAUCAUGAAUGAAUAAACUAUCAGCGAGAAAAUACCAGAGUUUUAAGACGAAUCGAUUAGCAUAGUAAACGAUUUAAUGUAAGAAUUAACUAACGAAUGUCUAAAUAACAGAAGCGUAGAAUGGGAGUGAGUUCUCGAGGAUAGCUGACAUUCCUAAUCUCACAUGCAGAUCAAUCACUUACGAUACGUAUAUUAGUAAAACCACAUUAUAAGGUGAAGAAAGAAGAUUUUUCGUAGAACGAUGUUUCUGCUACAUAUGGAGCGAUAAAAAAAUAUUUAAUAAAAAUCGGUAGCGUAAUUCGCCGGUUGAACUUAGUAUUAAAUAGUCUCCUAAUCCAUAUAUAUAUAUAUAUACAUAUAUACAUAUAUGUAUUCCUUUUAAUGACAGAGACAAAAUGGAAUUCUGUGUUGUAUGGAUCAACAUGCACAAUUGAUUGAUUUAAUACAUACAUAUAAAUAUUAUAUAUUCAUAUAUAUAUAUAUAUAUAUAAUAUAUACAUGUACACGUUCUUAUGCAUACACGAGGAACCAAAUAUCAAGAGAUAAUUAUUGUACGUAACUAUGCAUAUAAUAUAUGUAUACAUAUAAAUUAUAUAUAUAGGAGUAGGAUACCCAAGCGUUUUCAAUUGCUGUGCACCUUCUGUAGAUAUGAAUUCGUCUCUUCGUUUCACAGUACGUUUUCUUCUGUGUAAUUCCGGUGUUUCAGUAGUUCAAUUACAAUCAAAUUACAAUAGGGUUAUUUUGAGAAAAAAAUAAUUCCGCAUUCUGCUAAUAUAAAUGUAACAUUGGGAGAUAGAUGGACCACCUGUUUCGAAUGCUUCUCGUUUAUUCUUUUAUAAAGUUGAUAGUAUGUAUACAUUUUUGCUGUGAUUACUAUACGUGUACGUUAUUUUUAAUUAUAUGUAAUAGAGAUUGAAAUUGGAAACUAUGGUAAGAAGAAUAUUGUAGAGUAAAAAAAUAAAAGAAUAUCGUGUCAUCCAAAAAUUACUUGUAAUUCGUUGAAAGAUGAAUUCUCUAUAAUUAUAUGUAUACGUAUGUACAUUAGCCAUAAGUUCAACGUUAUUUCAUUCCUAUUACAAACUUUAGUAGAUUUCUUCCAUGUUACUAUUAUAAAUUUUACUUGAUAAAUUGUAAGCAAUAAUGGUGGCAAUCAUGUGUACUAUAUACGUUUGGCAAUGGAAGGAAUAAAAUGAAUAGAGGCAAGGAGAUAAUAUCAGGAUAAACAUAUCAAAUAAUAAUAUUAUCCUAAAACCUAAAAAAUGAUCCAUCUAUCUUCAAGCACGUUAUCAUAGAUACGUUUGAUUAUACAGAGAAUCUAUCUCAGCGUACAAAUAGUUAACGAUCUUACGGUAGCACCGAUUAUCAUGCAGAAUCAAAUAGGAAAAGCAAAGGGUUGUAAUUAUACUUUUACGAUGACUAGUUAAUCGUUCAUAGUUAGUCGCAUAGUUAGGUAGAGAUCCAAUGUGAUACAUACAUUCAAAAGGUAACUUUGUCUAAAAGUUUUACUAUACAUAUAGGAAGAAGAUACGACAUCUUAUCGCAAGAUUUGCCGUAAACUUCUACGAGCGUUCGUUCAAUUAGGUGUACCUAAACCAUAGAAAAUCAAGCAACGUUCCGAACGUUACCGUCAGGCUCGCUUUUUGCAAUGAUUCGAGUUUAUUGUCAUACACAUCAGUGGCAUUUUCGUUGACGAACCAGUGUAAUCGCAUCAUCAUAACACGGCCUGUACUGAUAUUACCUUUAACGAUAAUCGAAAUAGAAAACAGGAUGAUCUCGAAUGUUUUAUGACCACUGUGGAAUAACGAAUCGAGACUACUAUUUUUUAACUGCGGCACUUUUCUGUGUAUUAUCGUUCUAGAACAAUCUAUCCCCUGGAAAUUCAAACAUGAGAUUGCAUUAAAGAGAAAAUAAAAAAAUGGAAAACAAAUGGGAAAAGUAAGUAGGAUCAUCACGAGAUCACGCGGGACCAUCAUGGCAGUUCGUUUUUCUCGUAUGUCUUCCAAUCAUUCCAUAAACCAUUGUGUCUGUCUUGUAUCCGUGGGAUCGCCUGUCUUCUUAACAAGGGUUGUACGCUAAAUAAAGGAAGAUCUUACGGUA
Bombus terrestris (buff-tailed bumblebee) is the source of this 6779-nucleotide long non-coding RNA. RefSeq lists it as uncharacterized. Lineage: Eukaryota; Metazoa; Arthropoda; Insecta; Hymenoptera; Apidae. The transcript has 4 exons. The record is from RefSeq and is a predicted model, not a curated record.